RNAcentral lists this ribosomal RNA (425 nucleotides) under uncultured bacterium. RNAcentral describes it as "bacterial SSU rRNA". It matches the Rfam family "Bacterial small subunit ribosomal RNA", at positions 354 to 796 of the family's 1533-position model. The record is from RNAcentral.
GUGGGGAAUAUUGCACAAUGGGCGAAAGCCUGAUGCAGCAACGCCGCGUGAGUGAUGAAGGCCUUCGGGUUGUAAAGCUCUGUCUUUGGGGACGAUAAUGACGGUACCCAAGGAGGAAGCCACGGCUAACUACGUGCCAGCAGCCGCGGUAAUACGUAGGUGGCGAGCGUUGUCCGGAUUUACUGGGCGUAAAGGAUGCGUAGGCGGAUGUUUAAGUGAGAUGUGAAAUACCCGAGCUUAACUUGGGUGCUGCAUUUCAAACUGGACAUCUAGAGUGCGGGAGAGGAGAAUGGAAUUCCUAGUGUAGCGGUGAAAUGCGUAGAGAUUAGGAAGAACACCAGUGGCGAAGGCGAUUCUCUGGACCGUAACUGACGCUGAGGCAUGAAAGCGUGGGUAGCAAACAGGAUUAGAAACCCCAGUAGUCC